RNAcentral lists this unclassified non-coding RNA (536 nucleotides) under Acrophialophora levis. RNAcentral describes it as "sequence contains 18S rRNA gene, ITS1, 5.8S rRNA gene, ITS2, 28S rRNA gene". The stretch from base 211 to 364 matches the Rfam family "5.8S ribosomal RNA". The record is from RNAcentral. Lineage: Eukaryota; Fungi; Ascomycota; Sordariomycetes; Sordariales; Chaetomiaceae.
UCGUAACAAGGUCUCCGUUGGUGAACCAGCGGAGGGAUCAUUACAGAGUUGCAAAACUCCCCAAACCAUUGUGAACCUUACCUUCAACCGUUGCUUCGGCGGGCGGGCCACAGCGCCCCCCCGGCCCCCCCCAGCGGGGCGCCCGCCGGAGGAUACCCAAACUCUUGAUACUUUAUGGCCUCUCUGAGUCUUCUGUACUGAAUAAGUCAAAACUUUCAACAACGGAUCUCUUGGUUCUGGCAUCGAUGAAGAACGCAGCGAAAUGCGAUAAGUAAUGUGAAUUGCAGAAUUCAGUGAAUCAUCGAAUCUUUGAACGCACAUUGCGCCCGCCAGUAUUCUGGCGGGCAUGCCUGUUCGAGCGUCAUUUCAACCAUCAAGCCCCCGGGCUUGUGUUGGGGACCUGCGGCUGCCCGCAGGCCCUGAAAACCAGUGGCGGGCUCGCUGUCACACCGAGCGUAGUAGCAUCAUCUCGCUCAGGGCGUGCUGCGGGUUCCGGCCGUUAAAAGCCUCUAAUACCCAAGGUUGACCUCGGAUCA